AGCAUUAUUUAUGACUAUAAAUAUUUUGUAUGAAAUGCAUACAUCAUUGCUUUGGAACCAGUAUAGAUCCGAUAAAACAAGAUUUCCUAUUAGGCGGCAAUAGGAACUGUGUGAUCACUAGUUAAGUUCAAAAAUCUGCAGUGCUCCGUUUGAUCAGAAUUUUGAAGACGUCUUUCUCGUUCGUUUGUUAGAUGUGAGGUUAACUCGGUGAAAAUAUAUCUCAAGACCUGUAUCUAAGAGUUAACUCGGUGGAAUUAUCCUGAGACUCAUCUCGAUCGUUGGAUGUGAGAAGUAGUACGACUUAAUGAUAGGUAAAACGGAGCAAUGUGAAAUGUUUUGGGCUUAAAGAAGGAAGAAUUCAAGUAUCGGAAAAGAAGCGAGUCGAAAAGCGAAGAAACGAGCGAGAUAUGGCUGAGAAAAGGAAGGGCUCGAUCGAGCCCUUCACUUACCAAGAGGGGCUAACAAAUGUCUCCAGGGAUUUUCUCAAGGCUUAAGGCUCGAUCGAUCCCUCACUCUUAAGUGGAUGGCUCGAUCGAGCCCUAUAAAAAUAGGCUCAUAAUUUGAAUUUCAAGACAAGACAAGACUCAAGGCUCAAUUCCACUUUUGGCCCAACACUCUUUUAGUGGGUGUCUUUUGUUUCCUCUUUCGUAACCCAUAUAAAUAGCACUUUAUCUCAUUUUAGGUCAUAAACAACAUUUAUGAGCUUUUGAAUAUUCUCUUA
Mercurialis annua (annual mercury) is the source of this 721-nucleotide long non-coding RNA. RefSeq lists it as uncharacterized. The transcript has 2 exons. The record is from RefSeq and is a predicted model, not a curated record. NCBI's taxonomy places the organism in Eukaryota, Viridiplantae, Streptophyta, Magnoliopsida, Malpighiales, Euphorbiaceae.